UGGCUCAGACGGUAAAGCAUCUGCUUGCAAUGCAGGAGACCCAGGUUCAACCCCUGG
Molecule: transfer RNA, 57 nt
Filed under: Bos taurus (domestic cattle)
Lineage: Eukaryota; Metazoa; Chordata; Mammalia; Artiodactyla; Bovidae
Rfam family: tRNA
About the family: Transfer RNA (tRNA) molecules are approximately 80 nucleotides in length. Their secondary structure includes four short double-helical elements and three loops (D, anti-codon, and T loops). Further hydrogen bonds mediate the characteristic L-shaped molecular structure. tRNAs have two regions of fundamental functional importance: the anti-codon, which is responsible for specific mRNA codon recognition, and the 3' end, to which the tRNAs corresponding amino acid is attached (by aminoacyl-tRNA synthetases). tRNAs cope with the degeneracy of the genetic code in two manners: having more than one tRNA (with a specific anti-codon) for a particular amino acid; and 'wobble' base-pairing, i.e. permitting non-standard base-pairing at the 3rd anti-codon position.
Source: Rfam by way of RNAcentral